Molecule: transfer RNA, 57 nt
Filed under: Bos taurus (domestic cattle)
Lineage: Eukaryota; Metazoa; Chordata; Mammalia; Artiodactyla; Bovidae
Also listed under: 5 other names
Rfam family: tRNA
About the family: Transfer RNA (tRNA) molecules are approximately 80 nucleotides in length. Their secondary structure includes four short double-helical elements and three loops (D, anti-codon, and T loops).
Source: Rfam by way of RNAcentral
UAGCUAAAACGGUAAAGAAUCUGCCUGUGAUGCAGGAGACCCAGGUUCGAUCCCUGG